This 29-nucleotide non-coding RNA is filed under the name Mus musculus (house mouse). The record is from RNAcentral. Lineage: Eukaryota; Metazoa; Chordata; Mammalia; Rodentia; Muridae.
UACCAAGAUAUUUCCAAGACAACCACUGG